AUGGCCGACGUGGGUAAAAGUGUAGUAUCUGUUCUUAUCAACUUAAUAUCUGAUACCAGUUGUAUUUGGACCCAAGAUAUUGGAAGUUGGCGGAGUGCCCAAGAUAUUUGCAAGUUGGCGGAUUGCUUGAAGUCUGCUUUACAUCCGCCGCGGGUCGGUCCAGAAUUGCACUAUUUUCGGGAUCGGCCCACGUUUU
This is a small nuclear RNA of Dermacentor silvarum, 196 nucleotides long. RefSeq annotates it as U2 spliceosomal RNA. NCBI's taxonomy places the organism in Eukaryota, Metazoa, Arthropoda, Arachnida, Ixodida, Ixodidae. The transcript has a single exon. The record is from RefSeq and is a predicted model, not a curated record.